UGGGGCGGGCCGGGCCGGGCCGGGCCCCGCUCUCGCCCGUGGCUGGUUCGAGCCCGGCCUCGGGGCCGCCCGGAGCCCGGUCACGCAGCGCCUGCCCCGGGAGGGUCGGUGCUGCCCGGCGGGGCCAAGGUCCCCUCCGAGCGGCUCUGCCUCCGGGGCCGGUGUGUGCUGCCCCCGCAGGGCCCGGGGUGGUGGGGAGGAGGAGGAGGAGAAAGAGGGAGGGAUGAAGGAAGGGGUGAAGGAGGCUGCCCCAUCUCCAUCUACUGCAUUUUCUUCUCUGGAGGGUUUUAUUGCUGCCUGGGCGCGGUGCUGGCCAGUCAACACUCUUCGUGCUCACUUCAUUGCCUCGUAAUAACCAUUUUCUCUUGUUUCUUUACACACUUUGCAGGUCGAUGAGUGGCAGAAGGUGACGUUCUCCAGAGUUUCUGGAGCUCUCGGACAAGCCCCCUGGAAGCUUUCCCUCCAGUCUGCUCUGCUUCCCGUCCCUGCACGCUCCUCGCUUUUUGCCUGUUCCUCUCAAUAGUUAACUCGUUCAGUUAUACACUUUUUAAGUAAGAUAUUAGCAGCGCUGUUUUGCUGAACUCGCAGCUAGAAGCAGCCAGCCCCCCUCAAAAACCUGGUGGUUUUCAGAGAAGCUCACUAAGAAUUAAUUUUUCAAGAUAGCUUAAAUAAUUCGCUGUCCUCGUAUGACAAAUGCUGCAAUGCUCCACUGCUAAACUACCUUUUUUUUUUUUUUUAACUUUAGUGAUUACUGCAUCCAUCAUUUCCACUAAAAAUAAAGCCAGCAGUUCUCUUUGGUAAGAGCACACCCCUUGUGCUGAGAAAAGGAGGUGGUGUCUGCUCAGAGAUGGAAUUUCUCUGGAAUUCUCACUGGGAUGCUUCCCCAUUCACUUCCCUUCAGCUCCCUGCAUUGAAGAGGAGGAGCUCGGAGAGACAAAAAGCUUUGCCUUUGCUCCCCUCUGCUGCAGCCCCGACCCUGCAGGACGGGGUCCUUUGUUAGUCCCCAGUGUGGCUUCUCCCCUGCCGCUCACCCCGAGGGCUGCUGUCUGGCCAGUUAACUCUGCAGGCUUUAGCGCUCUCUUUAUCAUUAGCUCCACUGAAUCUCCUGUGUAAUGUGAGUUUCCUCCGUUGCUAUGAAGGAAAAAAAGCGCUAUUUAUAUGAGGUUUGUAGAAACCUGCUCUGGAAUUGGUGGUAAGACCAAUGGCGGUGCAGCUGAAGGAGUUUUCAGCCUUUUUUUGGAGCAUAUAUAACUUUUGCAAUAGUAGUGAAAUCCCAUACGUGCUCAUAAAGUCCAGUGUAUUUUCCUGCCUCCUUUUCAGCACCUUUGUGAUGCUGGCCUUGAUGUAUGUCUCACUUAACACCAUCCCUGCCUUCAGUUCUUUCACACCGCUCUCAGGCCUCGGCCAGUUUCAUCCCAGCUCUCAAAGAAAUCCUCCUCCUGGACCCGCGGCACAGAGGUCUUCAAAGAGGGAGGGGGAAGAAGUGGUGAGCCCUUCUCGGUGAAGUUGCAUCAUUUCUAGAAAUAGAACUUAAGGUCCUUUGGGAAA
Molecule: long non-coding RNA, 1548 nt
Organism: Calidris pugnax (ruff)
Lineage: Eukaryota; Metazoa; Chordata; Aves; Charadriiformes; Scolopacidae
Exons: 2
Source: RefSeq, a predicted model, not a curated record